GUGGGGAAUAUUGGACAAUGGAGGCAACUCUGAUCCAGCCAUGCCGCGUGUGUGAAGAAGGCCUUUUGGUUGUAAAGCACUUUAAGCGAGGAGGAGGCUUACCUGGUUAAUACCUGGGAUAAGUGGACGUUACUCGCAGAAUAAGCACCGGCUAACUCUGUGCCAGCAGCCGCGGUAAUACAGAGGGUGCAAGCGUUAAUCGGAUUUACUGGGCGUAAAGCGCGCGUAGGUGGCUAAUUAAGUCAAAUGUGAAAUCCCCGAGCUUAACUUGGGAAUUGCAUUCGAUACUGGUUAGCUAGAGUAUGGGAGAGGAUGGUAGAAUUCCAGGUGUAGCGGUGAAAUGCGUAGAGAUCUGGAGGAAUACCGAUGGCGAAGGCAGCCAUCUGGCCUAAUACUGACACUGAGGUGCGAAAGCAUGGGGAGCAAACAGGAUUAGAAACCCCAGUAGUCC
RNAcentral lists this ribosomal RNA (451 nucleotides) under uncultured bacterium. Its description in RNAcentral is "partial 16S ribosomal RNA". It matches the Rfam family "Bacterial small subunit ribosomal RNA", at positions 354 to 796 of the family's 1533-position model. The record is from RNAcentral.